AGAGUUUGAUCCUGGCUCAGGACGAACGCUGGCGGCGUGCUUAACACAUGCAAGUCGAACGGUAAGGCCUUUCGGGGUACACGAGUGGCGAACGGGUGAGUAACACGUGGGUGACCUGCCCCCUACUCUGGGAUAAGCUUGGGAAACUGGGUCUAAUACCGGAUAGGACUCGCGGCCGCAUGGUUGUGGGUGGAAAGUUUUUUCGGUGGGGGAUGGGCCCGCGGCCUAUCAGCUUGUUGGUGGGGUGAUGGCCUACCAAGGCGACGACGGGUAGCCGGCCUGAGAGGGCGACCGGCCACACUGGGACUGAGACACGGCCCAGACUCCUACGGGAGGCAGCAGUGGGGAAUAUUGCGCAAUGGGCGGAAGCCUGACGCAGCGACGCCGCGUGGGGGAUGACGGCCUUCGGGUUGUAAACCUCUUUCGACCUUGACGAAGCCUCUUUGGGG
Molecule: ribosomal RNA, 449 nt
Filed under: uncultured Actinomycetes bacterium
Lineage: Bacteria; Bacillati; Actinomycetota; Actinomycetes
Description: bacterial SSU rRNA
Rfam family: Bacterial small subunit ribosomal RNA
Source: RNAcentral